GCGUGCGUAGGCGGUCUGUUAAGUCUGUCGUGAAAGCCCUGGGCUCAACCUGGGAAUUGCAUUGGGAACUGGCUGACUGGAGUGCGGUAGAGGGUAGUGGAAUUCCCGGUGUAGCAGUGAAAUGCGUAGAUAUCGGGAGGAACAUCCGUGGCGAAGGCGACUACCUGGGCCAGCACUGACACUGAGGCACGAAAGCGUGGGGAGCAAAC
This 209-nucleotide ribosomal RNA is filed under the name uncultured bacterium. RNAcentral describes it as "partial 16S ribosomal RNA". It matches the Rfam family "Bacterial small subunit ribosomal RNA", at positions 565 to 773 of the family's 1533-position model. The record is from RNAcentral.